AGGAUAAACGCUGGCGGCGUGCAUGAGACAUGCAAGUCAAACGGACGAUCAGGGCUUGCUCUGAUCGUUAGUGGCGGACGGCUGAGUAACGCGUGGGUGACCUGCCCCGAAGUGGGGAAUAACUGCCCGAAAGGGUGGCUAAUACCGCAUGUGGUGGUGCGUUCAUUCGCACCAGUAAAGCCGCAAGGCGCUUCGGGAGGGGCCUGCGUCCGAUUAGCUCGUUGGUGGGGUAACGGCUCACCAAGGCGACGAUCGGUAGGUGGUCUGAGAGGACGAUCACCCAGACUGGGACUGAGACACGGCCCAGACUCCUACGGGAGGCAGCAGUCGGGAAUUUUGCUCAAUGGACGAAAGUCUGAAGCAGCAACGCCGCGUGAGGGAUGAAGGCCUUCGGGUUGUAAACCUCUUUUAUCAGGGACGAUAAUGACGGUACCUGAUGAAUAAGUCACGGCUAACUACGCGCCAGCAGCCGCGGU
RNAcentral lists this ribosomal RNA (476 nucleotides) under uncultured bacterium. Its description in RNAcentral is "SSU rRNA". It matches the Rfam family "Bacterial small subunit ribosomal RNA", at positions 26 to 521 of the family's 1533-position model. The record is from RNAcentral.